GACGAACGCUGGCGGCGUGCCUAAUACAUGCAAGUCGAACGCUUCUUUCCUCCCGAGUGCUUGCACUCAAUUGGAAAGAGGAGUGGCGGACGGGUGAGUAACACGUGGGUAACCUACCCAUCAGAGGGGGAUAACACUUGGAAACAGGUGCUAAUACCGCAUAACAGUUUAUGCCGCAUGGCAUAAGAGUGAAAGGCGCUUUCGGGUGUCGUUGAUGGAUGGACCCGCGGUGCAUUAGCUAGUUGGUGAGGUAACGGCUCACCAAGGCGACGAUGCAUAGCCGACCUGAGAGGGUGAUCGGCCACACUGGAACUGAGACACGGCCCAGACUCCUACGGGAGGCAGCAGUAGGGAAUCUUCGGCAAUGGGCGAAAGUCUGACCGAGCAACGCCGCGUGAGUGAAGAAGGUUUUCGGAUCGUAAAACUCUGUUGUUAGAGAAGAACAAGGACGUUAGUAACUGAACGUGCCCUGACGGUAUCUAACCAGAAAGCCACGGCUAACUACGUG
This 508-nucleotide ribosomal RNA is filed under the name uncultured bacterium. RNAcentral describes it as "partial 16S ribosomal RNA". It matches the Rfam family "Bacterial small subunit ribosomal RNA", at positions 28 to 507 of the family's 1533-position model. The record is from RNAcentral.